GGAGGAGUGCCAGAGCGGUCGAAUGGGGCAGUCUAGAAAACUGCUGUGCAGGCAACUGUACCGUGGGUUCGAAUCCCACCUCCUCCUCCA
Molecule: transfer RNA, 90 nt
Filed under: Alphaproteobacteria bacterium CG_4_10_14_0_8_um_filter_37_21
Lineage: Bacteria; Pseudomonadati; Pseudomonadota; Alphaproteobacteria
Description: tRNA-Ser
Rfam family: tRNA
About the family: Transfer RNA (tRNA) molecules are approximately 80 nucleotides in length. Their secondary structure includes four short double-helical elements and three loops (D, anti-codon, and T loops).
Source: RNAcentral